CGGUACUCGACGGAGACAAUUAGGGCUUGGAGAGCCAGGGCCAUGCGAGAGCAGGAGUCGUGGAAUGGUUUGGAGGCGGCGGAGAAGAGGACGAAGCCGCCUCCGUGGAAGUAGAUGAUGAGAGGGAGGCGGGGGUUUGGGGGGAGAGGGUGGGGUUUGAAGAGCCUGAAGAAGGUUUUUGUUUCUGGGUUUAAGGGAAUGUCCUUGGAGAGGACGAGUUGGGGAGAGUUGGAGUCUGACUCGGCGGCCGUGGCGGAAAUGGACUCGGUGGGGGUGGGAGUUGGGGAGACGGUGGGGAAAGGGGUGAAGCGGGUGAGGGAGCCAUCAGGGUUGGGGAGGAUUUUGAGGAGUUUGUAGGGGUCAAUGGAGGUUGGGGAUGAAGAAGGUUGAUACGCCAUGGAUGUUGUUGAAACUCGCAGAUGAAGCGUUUGUGCAAAUGCUUAGCUGAAAGAAGAGGGUUUAUAAGUUUAUAUGUGGAAGACAAUGAGUGACGAGUGACGAGGUAAUAGUGGGAAAAAUGGUUAGGUGUUUGGUGAAGAAAAUUAAAGUGAAGACUUGGGGACUACCUGUUUUAGUUGCAUGCUAUUGAAUUCUCGACCUAAAAGUGAACUGAUUAAUUGAUUGGGAUUCAGUUGGGUUUGCACGCGGGUGGGGAUAUGUGUGUUAACAUCCAAAUUUCACAAGUAAGGAGUGAGGUGCUUAAAAAAAAAAAGCACCCAUAAAAAAAAAGUUGUGAAAGUUUUAGGUGUUUGGUAAACUGAAAAAAAAAAUACUUAUUUUGGAAGCUGCUGUGAGAAUAAGCUGAAAUCAAAGGAAAAAGCUGAAGCUGUUAUUUGUAGUUUUGGAAAACUGGCUUUUUUUCAAAGCACACGGAGCUACAAUGCUCCUUUAAUGAAAAGACUCACUAUCAGACUGCUUUUUUUUUCCAAAAGCACUUUUACAAAAAAGUUUACCAAACACUCUGCUGAUUUAUUUCACAGCCGCUUAUUCUCACAGCACAGCCGCUUAUUCUCACAACAGUUUUUUUUUAAAGCACAGCAAUACCAAACCAGCCCUUAGUAUUACGAUCUCGUGAUAUUUCUCUUUAUUUUUAAAUAAAAAAUUUUAGGUUCGAUUAUCGCAAAAAACAAAUUUGAACCAUAUUAUUACUAGUCCGUUGUGAAACUUAAUUCACCCACUCCUUAGUGUAGGUAUAUCGUUCGUUCGAAAAAAAAAAAAAAAAAAGAUCCCACAAAGGUUAACAUGCGGCUUGUAAUCAGUAUCGGAAGGAGAGGGGGGAGUGGGGUAGGGUGGAAUGAGAAGCUUCACCCACUCUUCUUAGUGUACAUAUAUUGUUUGUUCGAGAUAAAAAAAAACAGAUCUCACAAAGAUUAACAUGCGGCUUGUAAUCAGUAGCGGAAGGAGAACAUGACCCCAACAACUUUAUAUUAUUACUCCACACAAUUUUGCUAUUAAUCCCCAUAUACCCCAAUAAGAAUUUCCAAUAAUUAGGUUCAGUUUAAGUUUAUGUCUGCAUGCCUUUGAUUUCUGUCAUUUAUCAAAACACACAUUUUUUUUUUGAAAGAUAUCAAAACACUAUUAAUCAAUAAUAUUUCGUAGUGAGUUCAAUCAAUUUGAUUUUCAAAUUAUUAUCAUAGUUUAAUGAUUGAAUUAUUAUUUAAACGUUGAUUAAUGUGCUUAUUUUCUAUUGGUGGCAGAUCAUUUGAUUUUCAAAUUUGUUAUAAUGAAAGUAAGACAAAAUACAUGGAAAAGAAACGGUCGACUUAGUCUUUUAAAAAAAAAAAUUUAUUAUCAUAGUGUUUGGCCCCAAAAUAUUAUUUUGGGCUGAGCCUGGGAUUAUUCUCGGCCCAGUAGAGUUUAUCUAGAAUUUUCUUGUGGGCCGUCCAGUUAAGGUCGGCCAAAUCUUGUUGCGAGGAGGAUUAGUUUAGAUAAGGGUGAAGUAGUCGACUCCUAGUGCAGCAACGAGUCUUAAAGCUAAUCAGGAGAUGAAUCUGAUUUGUUAUGGAGUUUGGUUCAAAGUCAUAUUGGAGCUAGGACUGGCCGAAACCUAAUUAGAUAGGGUUGAGGAGUUCUAAUCCGAGUACAUUUCUAGUUCAGUUACGAGGGGGUUUUGCUGCUAUAAAUAGAGAAAGAAGUGCAUCAUUCAAAACCCUCUCCAAUUCAACACAUAAAAUUGCCCUGCACAAAGUUUCUCAACAACCUUGAGAUUUUAUCUUCUUCCCCUUUCUUCCUGCCAACACAUCUUCAGUUUGGAUAAACAACACUGUGAAGGUAACCGGCGACAUCUUUAGUUUGGAUAAACAACACUGGAGUCAUAGAAUCAACCGAUAAAGGAGCACCUUCAUAUUGGUUAGACAUCACUGCUUUAAGGCCGACUGGUUAUUAUCCAAGUCUCGGUUGACAAGGAUUCUUAAGUCCUUGAUGGUAGAGGUCAUCUAUUAGGCUUGGCACAUUGAACGCCAAGUUUGUUUUAUGAUUGGGUACUCACAGGUACAUUUUAGAGUUCGGCAUUCUGACGACCGAACCACGUUUACCAUCAAGACAUUUAUCUCAUUCGAGUAUUUGUGUCUGUAUAGUCUGGUGCCAGUUCAGCGUGUUUAUACUCUUACAAAUAUAAUCACCAUAAUCGAACCCAGCGUCGACGAUCCGUGAACUUCGUAAGACUAGCAGCCUUAUCUUCAAGCUCUAGAACUCAAAGGCCGAGACGUGUUCCUUUCUCGACUGCAAUCGCAAGAUCGAGAAGUCAGGAGUGCUCUCAAUUUAACAUCAGCAUAUUUUACUCUCCGGUCGAGCUCGGUCGUCGAGUUGGCAUGCCCCGCACAUAACUGAAAGACGUAAUUAGCUCAUUAGUUACUCGGCCUGCGCGCCACGUAGGCUUGGUAGUUUUUAGGGUCAACACAUAAGAAGAGCAGAAUUUUGAACCCAUAAAACAUAGGCGUAAACCCUACACCCUAGCCACUAGGAUAUUAGACCAUAUGCACAAUCGACUCAGUCCCACAUCAAAUGAAGUCCACCGAGGUCAAGCUUCUUAAAAGUUAACUCUGAUGGGUCUAUAGUUGGUGAAAAGACUAUUGCAAAGGUUUGUUAUCAGGGUUUCUUUUCAAUCAAUCUCUUGGAAACAUAUCUUUGGAGAGACCAAUUUCCUUGCAGAUUUUGUCACUAGUGUGGGACUCAAUAUUAGUGAUACUUAUAUACGAGAUCAUACCUCCCUACAAAUGCUAGGCAUGCUCUUAUAUUUGAUCUUUUUGGAACUGGUUGUACUCAACAAUUUUCUGAAGAAAAGAUGCACGGGCCACUAUUUCUCUUAUAUACGCUACGCUAUUUGAAGAUAAUGAUUUGAAUGCCUAUCCCCUACCUAUGCACUUUCCUUUACUACCUUGAAGUGGAUCUCCUAUCUAUAUUCGACAGCUUGAAGAGGGAAGAAGAAGUAAAGCGAAUGCUCGUUCUGUUGGAACUCUCGAUCUGAUCUUGAAACAGGGGAAGGGAGAUCGAUCUCAAUCUCUCGAAUCCUUCUCUCCUUCCCAACGUUAUUUGUCCAAGGGGAAAAGGCUUGCAAACAGUAUUUUUUUGAAAAAAAAAACACUAUGUUUCUUCCUUUGUUACUAUAAUGAAAAUUAUAGUUUGUCAACCAAAACGUAAUUAUAAUUUUAAUUUUGCACGUUAGCGGAAUACAUGUGGCAUGAAAAAAAGUUAGACUGUUAAAAUGAGAAUGUAACUGAGGAUUGAAAGCACUUUAUAGAAAGAAAAUGAAUGAUUAUGCGAUAUUUACUCGUUGCUAGGCCCGAAUUAAACUAGCAUAAUUUCUCCUUUAAAGAAUUGGGCCUCCAUCCUCCCCAGUCUAUGGUACCCCAACUCAAUAAGAAAACAUUAAGAUGUGUUGGACCAAGGUGAUGAAACCCAAAGAUGCCAACCACCAACCAUACGUCUAAUAACGAAGGAAGCUUAAAACAUCUUACAACAUCAUUACUAUUUAAGUCCCCCAAAAUAGGGAUCAUUCAGUAUUAAGGUCUAAUGGUAUUUCUCUUCAUUUGUAAGUGAAAGGUCUUACGUUCGAACCUCGUAAAUGACAAAUUCGAUACCAAAUUAUGUUACCCAUUACGUGGCUUAGCCAAUCUCCUCCCUACCAUAGUGUAAAAUAUAUUGUUGUACUUAUAAAAACAAAAAAGGCCCCCAAAACAGAGAUUUUCGUAUAUGUUAUACACCAAGAUUUUUGUGUAAUUAAAUUAUUGGUCAAAGAUCAAUACUUAAAGAUCCAAUGCUUAGGAUCUAAUGUUAAAAAGACCCAUAGUGUAUUUUUACUCACACCUCUAAAGUAAGGGUUAUGCUCACUCCAUUUUGCUGUUAGAUUAGUUUAAAUUUCAAGAUUCAUGUCCCAAAUCAAUUAAAACAAACUAAUCUAACGGCAAUCCAUGAAGUGUGUUGAUGCACAAAAUCAGUGAUGACUUUGGAACAAUGUAAAGUGUCAAGUUUGUGACCUUCGCUCAGUUGCUCCGGUCACCUAGUAAGGAUAAUAUGUAAAGAGAUAGCGAAAGGGAAGCAAACACAAGAUGUACGUGGUUCACCAUAAAUUUGACUACAUCCAUGAAGUAGAGGAGUUCUCAUUAAUAGUGAAGGGUUUACACAAAUACAUAUGUUCAAGCAUAAUCAUCAUUAGUGAGCUCUAACGACUAGUUUAAGUACAAUAUUGACAUUAGAGAUUCAUUGUAGGAGAAUUGUUUUCUUUUAUAGUUCAGGAGAGUCUUCAACUUUUGUCCGCAGUCGAUGUGGGACUCGAUGAGCUUUAUUCUGAUGUUGACAUGUGUCAUGCUGUGAUUGACCUCCUGGUUGGAGGGAAACUCUUGUGCUUCGGCCGGGGUGCCUCAGUGGAUCCUUGAAACUAUGAAGUAGAUCGAUGCUUGGUAAUUUCGGGAUUGGUCAAGUAUGGUACAAACAGUGGUCCCCUAAGUUCUCGUGUGAGGAAAGCUUUUUGGUUGGGGACUUGAAAAAUCCAAGUCACUAAGUAAUCACGAAACUUCUGAGUACCGAAGUGUAGUAGCAUAUAGUGGGAGUCCCCCAAGUAUCCAAGUGAAGAGGAUAAUCGAAGGAGGUGGCUUGAUAUUCUUGAGUCAUUAGAAAAAAGACUUCAAAAAUUCUAUCCUCAUUUUUUUUUUUAUGAACUUAGCUCAAGUAUAUAUAUUUUUUCUUAAGCCCAAUUCCUUCUUUCUUUUGGUGAGAAAAGAAAAUGUGGUUGAAACCUUUUCCUUUGUGUACAUACCUUGAAUGGUUGAAGUUUUUGCCUUUGGGCACAUAGCUUGAGUGGUUGAAGCUUUGUAGGUGAAACUUUUUUGUUGAAACUUUGUAGGUGAAGCUUUUUCCUUUGGGCACAUAGAUUAAGUGGUUGAAACUUUGUAGGUGAAGCUUUUUGGUUGAACUUUGUGGGUGAAGCUUUGUAGGUGAAUUUUUUUGGUUGAAGCUCUAUAGGUGAAGCCUUUUGGUUGAAGCUUUGUAGGUGAAGCUUUUUGGUUGAAGCUUUGUAGGUGAAACUUUUUGGUUGAGGCUUUGUAGGUGAAACUUUUUGGUUAAAGCUUUUUUUAACCACAUAAAAAGAUUUUGCUUCCACAUUCUUUAGCAAAAGUGUGGAAGGCUUUUUGAAUUUUUUGUUGAAGCUUUCGGUUGAAGAUUUUGGUUGAAGCUUUUUUGAACCACAUAAAUAAAUUUUGCUUCCACACUCUUGAGCAAAAGUGUGGAAGGCUUUUUGAAUUUUUUGUAGUUAGGCAAAGUGUGAAGCUUCCUCCCUUCAAGGUGUGGGAGGCUUCUUCCCUCAAAGUGUGUGAAGGCUUUUUCCCUUUAAGGGUGUGGGAAGCUCUCUCCCUUGGAUGUGGGUAGCUCUUUCCCUUCAAGGGUGUAGGUAGCUAUCUCCCUUCAAGGGUGUGGGUAGCUAUUUCCCUUAGGUGUGAAAAGCUCUCUCCUUUCAAGGGUGUGGGAAGCUCCCUCCCUUCAAAGUGUGGUAAGCUCUACCCUUCAAAGUUGUGGGAACCUUCCUCCCUUCGACGUGUGGGAAACUUCCUUUCCUUCGAAGUAUGGGAAGCUCCCUCCCUUCAAAGGUGUGGGAAGCUUCCUCCCUUCAAAGUGUGGAAAGCUUCCUUCCCUUAAAGUGUGGGAAGCUCCUCCCUUCAAGGGUGUGGGAAGCUCUACCCUUCAAAAUGUGAGAAGCAUUUUAUAAGACUCCAUAAAUUGAUUUUGCUUCUACACUCUUGAGCAAGAAGGCUGAUGAGAUGACCUCUACCAACAAGAACUCGAAAAUCCUUGUUGACCGAGACUUGGAUAAAUAACUAGUCGGUCUUGAAGCAGUGUUGUUUAUCCAAACUGAAUGUGCUCCUUGGUCAUUUGAUUCUACAACUCCAAUGUUGUUUAUCCAAACUGAAGUUGUCACCGGUUGCCUUCACAAUGUUGUUUAUCCAAACUGGAGAUGUGUUGGCGAAAAAAAAAUAAAAAAUAAAAAUCUCAAGGUGUUUGAGAGGUUUACGUAGGGCAAUUGUGUGUUGAAUUGGAUGAGUUGUCCUCAUUGCAGAUUGUCCUAUAUUUAUAAGGGUGAACUUUCACGAUGACCAGAUAACCAAGUUACAGAGUUCUCUGCAAACCAUACCUUGUGAAAUAAUAAUCAUGAACUACCACGCAUUAUCCUUUGAAUUUUGGUGAUAUCGUAAUGUUAAUCAUUGAGAUGCAUUGGACCUUUUAAUCUUCAUUGUACAUCACCAUCUUAAUGUUUCAAACGGACAAAAAUGGCAUAUUCAUAUGCUAAUCAUCCAAAGUUGCAUCCUUGUACCAUUGUUCCACGUGGUUCUGGAUGCAAACCCAUUCAAAUAUGGAAUCCAUGCAACUGACUAGAUACAUUUUGAUUAGGAUAGAAUCCUAAAGCUACACGGAAAGCCCUCACAUAACUCUUCUUACUGCCGUGUUGAUUGUAAGGGGUUGGCAAGUAGCCAGCUAUGCAAUCUCUUUUAAUUUCUCCACAACCCGAUAAAACCUUUGAUUAUCUGCAAAAGGAUCCCACGCAUAACUCUGUAAGCUUUAAUGAUAUUUUCAAGAUAAUUAUUAUGAUUAAAAUCAAUAGUAAUGCCAAGAAAAAUCUCUUAAUUUUCAUAGUCAUCCGACGACCACAAUUGCUUGGGCCGAAAAUGCAAAAUCGGGUCCAAACAACCAUAUAAGACGAUUUUGCUUCCAAACUCUUGAGCAAGAGUGUAGAAGACAAUCUACAUGUUGUAGUUGUUGAAGGGUUGUUGAACCAUAUAAUACGAUUUUUCCUCCACACUCUUGAGCAAGAAUGUGGAAGGCUUUGUUGAGUUUGUAUAUGCCUUUUCCGAAUUCUAAGGCUUGAAAUUUUUCAACUGCUUAUGAAUGUUAAGAAUCCACAGGUGCAUGUUGUACUAUUCUUCCCUAGUUGAUGAAAAGAAGGUAAGUUCUUUCAUCACUUGGUUGGUGAGAAGAGUGGUGAGUUGUUGAGGCAAAAAUGUUUAAUAAAGUACUAGUUGUAUCUUCCACCACUUGGUUGGUGAUAAGAAGGUGAGUUCCUUGAUCACCUAGUUGGUAAGAAGAGUGGCAAGUUGCUGAAUCUCAAUAUUGUUUAUUAGAGUACUGGUUGUGCCCUUCAUCACCUGGUUGGUGAUAUGAAGGUGAGUUCCUUCAUCAUCUGGUUGGUAAGAAGAGUGGCAAGUUGCCAAAACUUAAAAUUGUUUCUUAGAGUAUUGGUUGUACUCUUCAUCACCUGGUUGGUGAAACAAAGAUGAGUGCUUCAUCACCUGGUUGGUGGAAAGAACGGCGAGUUACCAAGGUACAUUGUAGCACGUGCCAAAAGAAAAAAAGUGUAUGUUAACACCCUUUCGUAAUUAUGUAUGAAUGUUUUGGAGGGUAUGAAGUUUAUGUUGAUUGACAUAAGUAAUACUUAUGACAUGAGUGAUGUUCAUGACAUGCAUGUUGUUUAUGAAUGUUUUGCUGUGCAUGAAGGAAUCCAUUGUUUGGAUAUGUGAACCGUGUUGGUUAUACCACUUAGUUUCACUUACUUGGUGUUGAAGUACGUAUGUUGAUGCUUUAAGUUAAAGUAUAGAGGUAGGUUAGAGUUAGACCUAGUGUCCAGUGUUAGGAAUGCAAAAGACUUAGACGAAGUUGUCUGAAUUGCCUCUUCAUUAAAUAUUUUCCAAAUGGCUUGUGUUACAAAGGAUGUCAAACGGUUGAAGGUUGAAACAUUUGUUAUGCGUAUGCCUUUCUAUAAUAGCAUUUUCUUCAGUAUCCAGUCCUCCACUUUGAAAAAACGAUGUUUGACCCCAUGGUCAUAACAGUUGAAGGUACGUUCACCCCUGAUUGUCUUGAAACGAACCUUUAUUCCUCUUGUUGUAAUAAGCUUGUUGAGAGUAAAAAUUCUUCCUUUUGCCAAAAGGCAAAUAAGCCUGGUCACCUGGCAGGUUGCUAAGUGGGGCAGGAGGGGAUGCAAUGAGUGUUUGGAUGGCCAAAACCUUCUCACUUGGUAGAACUUGACAUUUACUCCCUACUUGUUGAUAGGGGUUUACCUUAUGAGGGUUCCCUUGGUAUGUCCUUGCCUCAGCAAAUGCAUGAUUGUAAGCUUGCGUCAUCACCUCAAAGUAAGUCUUCCAAGUGUUAGCAUUGAUCAUCUAAUUGAAGUAGAAUUCACGCAUGCCUACUGUGAAGGCCCUGAAUGUUGUUUUGUCAUCUGCCUCAGCACAACGACAGUACUCGUGGUUAAAGCGACCGACAUAUUCUCGCAAUGACUUGUUUGAUUUUUUACGAAUAGUGUAUAACUCAUUAGCAAAGUGUAAACGAUCAGCUUGGAAGAUAUGUUGAGCCACAAAGAGUCUCCUUAGCUCAGCAAAAGAAUCUAUCGUAUCAGGUUGAAGACCACAAUACCAAUUAAGAGUUCCACCAGAGAGAAUGGAGGGAAAAAUGAGAUAUCGUUCCUCAUCACUAUAUCUUCGAUAUGUUAUGGUGGAUUCAAAGAGGUGGAUAUGUUCAAUUGGAUUUUCUCUCUCUGAAUAAGAUUGCAAGCCAAGCUUCUAUUUUAUUUCUCCUCGUAGAAAAGUGCAAAGGAUCAUUUUUAUCAGAUGGCUUAGCCUUGGCUGAUUCCAGUCAGGUAUCCUAGCGUGACGUUCAGCCUUCAACUUGUUCACUUCCUCAAUGAGCUGCAAGAUAAGGGGGUCCUAAGUGGAGUCGGACAUCAUUAAUGAUUUCUUUUGUAGGUUUCCAUCAUUUCUUGAAAGUAGGGAAGAUCAGUCAAGGACAUCUGGCAUUUCCUUGGACUCAAUAUAUUGGCUAUUCUAAUGUGCUUAUUGAAAGUCCCCUGAGUCUCAUACGCCCUUUUGUUGCCGCAAGGCUUGUCGUUCCUUUCCUAGAUUAGGGGUUGGCCUAUGUUAUAAUAGAGGACUUAGCCCUUCAAUGACCCUUGGGUCUUUGAUCUUUGAGCCUAUAUGGAUAGAAUUUUCUCGACGCUAUCUCAAGAAGUCUCAACAGUCAAGGUAAACGGCUCUCGAUCAUUUUUUUUCUUUUGUAAAAAGAUGUCUUCCUCCAUAUAUUUUGCUUUAGUAUGAAGAAGUUGGGUUGAAAGAAGUCUCGUAUUGAUCGACAUUAUGGCGAAAAGAUCGUUCCUCAUUAAGAACGCCCAUGUUGAAGAUAUGUGAACUCUCGUGUUAGUGGGUACUCAUGUGGUGAUUCACAAUCACAGGGGUGAUAAGCUCGUAAGACUGAGUCUGUUUAGCCUCGUAGAGCAUCUCGAAGAGCUUUUAUAUUGUUCUUGGAAGAUCUCAUUUAUGAUCGCUAUCUUGUUGUUCUAAGCCUCUAGCUCUUCGACCCUGGCUUGAAGAGUAAACUUCUUUCUUUCCUUCCUUCGCCGCCUCACACUAGGAACUAGAGGAUGUUAUUCUGCGUGUUAUGGCUCCCUUCACUCCCCAUGUUGGAAAAUGAUGCCUAAUCAAAGGAGAGUGUACAAACGAUGGAAACCAGCUUGACAAAGCUGGGGAUAGUAGGAAUAAGUGUUGUUCCCACAGACGGUGCCAAAUGUUGAUGCAUAAAAUCAGUGAAGACUUUGGAACAACGUAAAGUGUUAAGUUUGUGACCUUCGCUCGGUUGCUUGGUCACCUAGUGAGGAUAAUAUGUAAAGAGAUAGAGAUAAGGAAGCAAACACAAGAUGUAUGUGGUUCACCCUAAGUUUGGCUACGUCCACGAAGUAGAUGAGUUCUCAUUAAUAGUGAAGAGUUUACAAAAAUACAUAGAUUGAAGCAUAAUCAUCAUUAGUGAGUUCUAAUGACUAGUUUUAGUACAAUAAUGAUAUUAGGGAUUCAUGUAGGAGAAUGGUCUUCUUUUAUAGUUGAUGAGAGUCUUCAGCUUUUGUCUGCGGUCGAUGUGAGACUCUAUGAGCUUUAUUCUGACGUUGACAUGUAUCGUGUUAUGAUUGGCCUUCUGGUUGGAGGAAAACUCUUGUGCUUCGACUGGGGUGCCUUAGCAUGAACCCCUCUGUGGAUCCUUAAAGGUAUAAAGUUGACCGAUGCUUGGUAGUUUCGGGAUUGGUCAAGUAUCGUACAAACAAAGUGUAUAACAGUAAAAAAUCUUAGAACUUUUGCCAAAAGCAUAGGCAAUUGACAAAAUAAAUAUAAGCCUGGAUCAUUUUUUUCCACACUGUAAUCGUGGGUACGAAAGAAGGUUCUCGCUUCUCAGUAGAAUCUGAAAUUACUCCCAUUUUCCCGAAGUCAUAGAGAUGCCAUAAAAUUGAGUUAUAUUCCUCACCGAUGCUAUCAUAGUAUCAUUACAGAAUGGAACCACAUUCUAUUCACAAGUGACAAAGACAAUGCCUUAAAAGGUUUCGCUAAUCUAAAUAACGGUUCAAAAAAUGUUCGUAUGUCAUACGCAUUUGAAUGGCACCGGUGGCAUUCUCGAGCGAUUUACCAUAAAUUAGGAUAAGGUGGAAAAUUAAUAAGUUCCUUAGAUCCAAAAUUUAGAAACCACAAAAUUAGUUUGAUGUCUAGUUUAAGCAAGAUAAGAGUACCAAGUAAUGUGUAAAUUAUGUAAUAUGUCAUCAAUAAAAAAUAAACACGUUAAUUAAUACUUAAUUAAUAAUCUAAUUAUCAACUAGCACAUAAUAUAAUUUACAAAAUAUAAUUUACAUACAUGAUCUCGUAGCAUUACCCAUAAUUUUAAUUUAAUCAUUGGAUGUGCUUUAAUGUGGCUAAAACAGUAAAACUCCUUGCAAGCAAAAGUAACAGCAACCAAAAUGGCGUUUUCUAACAAGCCAUGUCAGCUUCUUGGCCUUACUUCACGUGGCCGAUUUUGAAACGACAACAUUAUCACCGUCGUAUGUACUGCACGACUCGAUAAAAUCCCUAAGAAUGUCGUACAGAACUUGGGCCAUGCUGGGGUCGAAGAGCUCCACGCCAUGAAACCCCUCCUCGUCAAACUUGGCCACCACGUGCGCCCCACGUGACUCAAGUAACGCCACAAACUCUUUCUGCCUAUCCAUCAGCGGGUCCCCACCGUACCCUCUAACCAAACGCCUCGGCAACCGUUCGAUCCUCCCAUCCCCAACUCCCGCCGUCGGAUUACAAUACUCGUGAUCCCGAUCGACUCCCUUUGGCAAAGCCGUGGCCCACAUCAAGUCGUUAACGACCAGCUGGCAAAAUGUCCGAUCGUUGAUCAACCUCAUCUCGGAUUCAGUCCUAUGGACCCCACCGAAAAAAGGCUGGUUUAGUAUCAGCCCUCGGAUCUUCAUCGGCAAGAGAUCAUCCACCUCCGUGGAAGUAGAUGAUGAGAGGGAGGUUGGGGUUUGGAGGGUGGGGUUUGAAGAGCCUGAGGAAGGUUUUGUUUUCUGGGUUUAAGGGAGUGUCCUUGGAGAGGACGAGUUGGGGAGAGUUGGAGUCUGACUCGGCGGCGGUGGCGGGAAUGGACUCGGUGGGGGUGGGAGUUGGGGAGACGGUGGGGAAAGGGGUGAAGCGGGAAGACUGCUGCAGGGAUUGUUCCUAGGGUUUCUUUUCAGUCAAUCUCUUGGAAACAUAUCUUUUUGGAGAGGCCAUUUUCCUUGGAGAUUUUGCCGCGUAAGACUCAAUAUUAGUGAUACUUUUAUAUGGGAUCGCACUCUGUUAUGAGUGAUAGGGCUAGUUUGGUAUUGUAAGUGCUAAGGCUAGUUUGGGAUUGCACCCAUAAAUAUGUCUCAUUGCAAACCUCAUCCCUUCGCUCUUCUCACCCAUCUUUCACUCAAACUCUCCCAUCCCCAAGUUUUAAAAACCCAAACAAAUAAAUAAUGAAAUUUCAAACAAGGCAAGCUUACCAAGAGAAGGGCGCCAAGCCGGGAGAACACAUGUGGCAUGAAAAAAGCACUUUACAGAAAGAAAAUGAAUGAUCAUGCAAUAUUUACACGUUGCUGGGCCCGACUUAAACUAGCUCAGUUUCUCCUUUAAAGAGUUGGGCCUCCAUCCUCCCCAAUCUAUGGUACCCAACUCAAUAAGAAAACAUUAAGAAAUGUUGGACCAAGGCGGUAAAGUAAAAGUGAUGCUCACUCCAUCAUUGAUUGCCGUUAAAUUAGUUUAAAUCUUAAAUCAAUUACACCAAACUAAUCUAACGGCAACUAAUGGGGCGCAUAAGGGUAAAAAAAUCUAGAAUUUUCGCCAAAAACAUAGGCAAUUGACAAAAUAUAUAUAAGCCAGGAUCAUUUUUUUUCACUGUCUAAUCUGGAUAUGAAAGAAAGUUUUCACUAGUCAGUAGAAUCUGAAUUUACUCUCAUUUUCCCUUUUACAAGUCACAGAGAUGCCAUAAAAUUGGGUUGUAUUCCUCACCAAGCCGUCAUGACAGAAUGGAAUCACAUUCUAUUCACAAGUGACAAAGACAAUGCACUUAAAAGGUUUUGCUGAUCUAAGUACCAGUUCAAACAAUGUUCGUAUGUCAUACCGUAUGACUCAUACGUAUUCAAAUGGCACCGGUGACAUUCUCGAGCGAUUUACCAUGGUAAAUUAGGAUAGAAUGAAAUUUAAAAAGUUCAUUGGAUCCAAAAUUUAGAAACCACAAAAUUAGUGUGAUGUCUAGGAAUUGAAGAUUUCCAGCAUCCUAUUCAGCUCAAAAAAAAAAACACUUGCUUCAUUCCUAUGAGCAAUGCAGUUUGAUCACGUAAUGUGUAGUAGUGAUGGGGUGGCCAAAAAACACUUGCGUCAUUUCUCAAAAUAGUACAAAGCACAGCCGAAACACAAGUCUACAAGCAAGUCUCUCUCGUACAUUCCACCACCACAAAAAGCACUAGGCUUCUCAUACAACACUAACAACAGUAAGAGAGAAUUUAAUUCUUCCAAACAGAAUGUGCCAUGGCAAGUGCCUUCGCCCAUGAGCGGUAGG
This 13356-nucleotide long non-coding RNA is filed under the name Malus domestica (apple). Its description in RNAcentral is "long non-coding RNA (MDOM_LNC001719)". The record is from RNAcentral. Lineage: Eukaryota; Viridiplantae; Streptophyta; Magnoliopsida; Rosales; Rosaceae.